Molecule: non-coding RNA, 117 nt
Filed under: Gorilla gorilla gorilla (western lowland gorilla)
Lineage: Eukaryota; Metazoa; Chordata; Mammalia; Primates; Hominidae
Source: Rfam by way of RNAcentral
GCCGGGUGCGGUGGCUCACGCCUGUAAUCCCAGCACUUUGGGAGGCCGAGACGGGUGGAUCACCUGAGGUCAGGAGUUCUAGACCUGCCUGACCAACAUGGUGAAAGCCCAUCUCUA